RNAcentral lists this ribosomal RNA (377 nucleotides) under uncultured bacterium. RNAcentral describes it as "bacterial SSU rRNA". It matches the Rfam family "Bacterial small subunit ribosomal RNA", at positions 524 to 898 of the family's 1533-position model. The record is from RNAcentral.
GACAGAGGCCUCGAGCGUUAGGCGGAAUCACUGGGCUUAAAGCGUGUGUAGGCGGGCCCGUAAGUGUCUUGUGAAAUCCCACGGCUCAACCGUGGAACUGCUGGGCAUACUGCGGGUCUUGGGCCAACUAGGGGCAGCCGGAACAAGCGGUGGAGCGGUGAAAUGCGUAGAUAUCGCUUGGAACGCCGAAGGUGAAAACAGGCUGCUGGGGUUGCGCCGACGCUGAGACACGAAAGCCAGGGGAGCAAACGGGAUUAGAUACCCCGGUAGUCCUGGCCCUAAACGAUGUCCACUAGAUCGCGGAGCGGUUUGACCCGCUCGCGGUCGGAGCAAAAGUGUUAAGUGGACCGCCUGGGAAGUACGGUCGCAAGGCUAAA